This 197-nucleotide ribosomal RNA is filed under the name uncultured bacterium. RNAcentral's name for it is "partial 16S ribosomal RNA". It matches the Rfam family "Bacterial small subunit ribosomal RNA", at positions 328 to 539 of the family's 1533-position model. The record is from RNAcentral.
ACGCUCGACACCUACGGGAGGCNGCAGUGGGGAAUAUUGCACAAUGGGGGAAACCCUGAUGCAGCGACGCCGCGUGAGCGAAGAAGUAUUUCGGUAUGUAAAGCUCUAUCAGCAGGGAAGAAACUGACGGUACCUGACUAAGAAGCACCGGCUAAAUACGUGCCACAGCCGCGGUAAUCUGAGCGGGCUGGCAAGGC